UGCCAGCCGCCGCGGUAAUACAGAGGGCCCGAGCGUUAAUCGGAAUCACUGGGCUUAAAGCGUGCGUAGGCGGAUGUGUAGGCAUCUUGUGAAGUCCCUCGGCUCAACCGGGGAAUUGCAAGGUGAACCCCAUAUCUUGAGGCAAGUAGGGGUGGUCGGAACGAUAGGUGGAGCGGUGAAAUGCGUAGAUAUCUAUCGGAACGCCAACGGAGAAGUCAGGCCACUGGGCCUGUCCUGACGCUGAGACACGAAAGCAUGGGUAGCGAACGGGAUUAGAUA
RNAcentral lists this ribosomal RNA (279 nucleotides) under uncultured bacterium. Its description in RNAcentral is "partial 16S ribosomal RNA". It matches the Rfam family "Bacterial small subunit ribosomal RNA", at positions 506 to 784 of the family's 1533-position model. The record is from RNAcentral.